Molecule: long non-coding RNA, 871 nt
Filed under: Mytilus galloprovincialis (Mediterranean mussel)
Lineage: Eukaryota; Metazoa; Mollusca; Bivalvia; Mytilida; Mytilidae
Source: RNAcentral
GUUUAUUUAAACAAUGAAAAUACUUGUGUAUUAUAAAACACACAUUAUUUAGUAGAAGGGGAAACUGUUUAAUUCAAAAUAAUAGGGAUAAAGACUGCACAAAAAUAUACUAGGCUACCAGCUAUAUGCCAAGAUCUUUUAUUAUAUAACUGUUAGUUGAUCAUGUUGAUUAAAACCUAUUAAGUCAAUUUAUUGACGGCACCUCACCACCUAAAAAAUUUUAUUUUCAUUUUUAAUAAAGAUGUUAUUCCCAUAAAGAAAAAUAUCAAGAGUUAUCCACCCUCCCAUACCAUUUUUACCUAAAAUAGCCCUAAAGUUAUCUUCUUUAUACGACCGCAAAAAUUGAAAAUUUUUUGGUCAUAUAUUGGUAUCACGUUGGCAUCGUUGGCGUCGACCGAAGGCAUUUGAUUUUCGCUCUCUAACUUUAGUAAAAGUGAAUAGAAAUCCAUGUAAUUUAAACACAAGGUUUAUCAUUAUAAAAAGAAGGUUGGGAUUGAUUUUGGGAGUUUUGGUCCCAACGAAUUAGGGGCUAAAAGGGUCCAAAAUUAAACUUUGUUUGAUUUCAUUAAAAAAUUAAUUAUUGGGGUUCUUUGAUAUGCCAGAUCUAACCGUGUAUUCAGAUUCUUAAUUUUUGGUCCUGUUUUCAAAUUGGUCUAUAUUAAGGUCCAAAGGGUCCAAAAUUAAACUUAGUUUGAUUUUAAUAAAAAUUGAAUUCUUGGGGUUCUUUGAUAUGCUGAAUCUAAACAUGUACUUAGAUUUUCGAUUAUGGGCCCAGUUUUCAAGUUGGUCCAAAUCAGGGUCCAAAAUUAUUAUAUUAAGUACUGUGCAAUAGCAAGAAAUUUUCAAUUGCACAGUAUUCCGCAAUAGCAAG